GAAGAGGGGUAAUGUGUGUGUAGAUAGUGAGUAAUUGAACUGCAGUCAGAGAGCACGAGAGACGUUCGUUGCUAUAGCGUUUGUUUAGCGCGUUUGUUGUGUGUAUCGGUUAAGUUAUAUUCGGAAAGAAUAAACCAGUUUUAUUAAGUAAA
Long non-coding RNA from Limulus polyphemus (Atlantic horseshoe crab), 152 nucleotides. RefSeq lists it as uncharacterized. The record is from RefSeq and is a predicted model, not a curated record. Lineage: Eukaryota; Metazoa; Arthropoda; Merostomata; Xiphosura; Limulidae. The transcript has 2 exons.